Molecule: ribosomal RNA, 534 nt
Filed under: uncultured bacterium
Lineage: Bacteria
Description: bacterial SSU rRNA
Rfam family: Bacterial small subunit ribosomal RNA
Source: RNAcentral
AAUAGAUACCCCGGUAGUCCACGCCCUAAACGAUGUCGACUGGUUGUUGGGGGUUUGACACUCUCAGUAACGAAGCUAACGCGUGAAGUCGACCGCCUGGGGAGUACGGCCGCAAGGUUAAAACUCAAAGGAAUUGACGGGGACCCGCACAAGCGGUGGAUUAUGUGGAUUAAUUCGAUGCAACGCGAAAAACCUUACCUACCCUUGACAUGUCCUGGAGCCCGCUGAGAGGUGGGUGUGCCCGAAAGGGAACGGGAACACAGGUGCUGCAUGGCUGUCGUCAGCUCGUGUCGUGAGAUGUUGGGUUAAGUCCCGCAACGAGCGCAACCCUUGUCAUUAGUUGCUACAUUUAGUUGAGCACUCUAAUGAGACUGCCGGUGACAAACCGGAGGAAGGUGGGGAUGACGUCAAGUCCUCAUGGCCCUUAUGGGUAGGGCUUCACACGUAAUACAAUGGCGCGUACAGAGGGCUGCGAAGGGGUGACCUGGAGCCAAUCCCUGAAAAGCGCGUCGUAGUCCGGAUUGCAGUCUGCAA